UCACUUCCGAAAUUCUCAAGCAUUCACAACUUCAUUUACCUUUUUCUCAUUGCUCAAUUGUUACACAGUUUCACACAACUUCUUAGCACAAAACCUUUUUUCUAUUUUUUUCUUUUUCAAUGCUUUUUCUUUUUCUUUUCUUUUCUUUUCUUUCUCUUUUUUUCUUCAUAAUUUUAUUUUUCUUUCUCAACCUCAUGACAACCAACCUUUUUCUCCCCAACUUGAAUACAACCAAGUCUUGCAAUGUGAAUACUCCCAA
This 259-nucleotide long non-coding RNA is filed under the name Lathyrus oleraceus (garden pea). RNAcentral describes it as "Pisum sativum (pea) long non-coding RNA (PSAT_LNC028081)". The record is from RNAcentral. Lineage: Eukaryota; Viridiplantae; Streptophyta; Magnoliopsida; Fabales; Fabaceae.